This 267-nucleotide unclassified non-coding RNA is filed under the name uncultured fungus. RNAcentral describes it as "partial contains small subunit ribosomal RNA, internal transcribed spacer 1, and 5.8S ribosomal RNA". The stretch from base 1 to 73 matches the Rfam family "Eukaryotic small subunit ribosomal RNA", at positions 1759 to 1831 of the family's 1831-position model. Lineage: Eukaryota; Fungi. The record is from RNAcentral.
GCAAACUUGGUCAUUUAGAGGAAGUAAAAGUCGUAACAAGGUUUCCGUAGGUGAACCUGCGGAGGGAUCAUUACCAGAGAUGGCGGGCCUCCGUGCCCCCGUCCCCCACCCUUUGUUGACACACCUUUUUGCCUCGGGGGCAGAGCGUCCGUCGCCGCCCCCGGAGGAUCAACCAACGCUGUCUUUCUACGUCGGAGUUUUGAUUAAAAUUGAAUGAAAACUUUCAACAACGGAUCUCUUGGUUCUGGCAUCGAUGAAGAACGCAGC